This 91-nucleotide ribosomal RNA is filed under the name Meriones unguiculatus (Mongolian gerbil). The record is from RNAcentral. Lineage: Eukaryota; Metazoa; Chordata; Mammalia; Rodentia; Muridae.
GUCUACGGCCACAGCACCCUGAACAUGCCUGGUGCCCGAUCUCAUCUGAUCUGGGAAGCUACGCAGGGUUGGGCCUGGUUAGUCGUUGGAU